Molecule: non-coding RNA, 834 nt
Organism: Polyodon spathula (Mississippi paddlefish)
Lineage: Eukaryota; Metazoa; Chordata; Actinopteri; Acipenseriformes; Polyodontidae
Source: the annotation of a RefSeq genome assembly
CUUUAAUUCUCAAUAGGAUUGAAAUAAUGACACAAACAGAAGCAUUAUUGUCAGUUUAGACAGACACACAGAUUAGACAGCAGUGAUAUACUGAGAGCUUUGACUGGGGGAAAAAUAGAAGAAAACAGUAAAAGUGGCCCAACCCUAUGAAGCCCCACUGGUGCUCACGGCUCAGAUCUCAUGUAACUGCCUGGGACAGGAUUUGUAUAAAGGAAGGUGCUUUGCAUACCUGUGCCUGCCUCACUGCUCUGCACAACAGCUAGAAUAACUGCACUGCUCCAUUGCUCAGGGGUUUUAAAGCUGACAGUUGAGCCCUUUCACAGUCACUGAGACACACAGAGAGCAUGGCUUCACUGGGGCUCCUCCUCUGGACACUGGCACUCUUUGCUCAUGAAUCCAGCGGUCAGAUUGUCCUGACUCAGAGUCCCACAGUGGAGUCUGUCUCUAUAGGAGGGAGUGUCACUCUGAACUGCAGAUCCAGUAGCUCUGGUUUUACCAGCAGUCUAGCCUGGUAUGUGCAGAAACCCGGAGGAGCUCCUAAACUCCUCUUCUCUUCACUGAAUAGCCGAGUCUCUGGAGCUCCAGCUCCAUUCACUGACAGCAGCUCAAGAACAAACUUCAUGCUGCCCAUCAGUGGAGUCCAGGCUGAAGAUGCAGGAGAUUACUACUGUCAGCAGCACUAUAGCUUCCAUUAAUGUGACCUUUAAGAGACACACUGCAGAUAUUAACACUGACCACAAGAGGGAGCCAGAGCAUCACUGCUGUCCAGUGCAGUACAGUAAUAAGACAAUUGAAAUAGGCAGCAGCAUAUUUAGUCUUGUAAAGCGCUUUAUG